This 402-nucleotide ribosomal RNA is filed under the name uncultured bacterium. RNAcentral's name for it is "partial 16S ribosomal RNA". It matches the Rfam family "Bacterial small subunit ribosomal RNA", at positions 338 to 732 of the family's 1533-position model. The record is from RNAcentral.
CCUACGGGUGGCAGCAGUAGGGAAUCUUCCACAAUGGGCGAAAGCCUGAUGGAGCAACGCCGCGUGGGUGAAGAAGGUCUUCGGAUCGUAAAACCCUGUUGGUAGAGAAGAAAGUGCGCGAGAGUAACUGUUCACGUUUCGACGGUACCUAACCAGAAAGCCACGGCUAACUACGUGCCAGCAGCCGCGGUAAUACGUAGGUGGCAAGCGUUAUCCGGAAUUAUUGGGCGUAAAGGGAACGCAGGCGGUCUUUUAAGUCUAGUGUGAAAGCCCUCGGCUUAACCGGGGUAGUGCAUUGGAAACUGGGAAACUUGAGUGCAGAAGAGGAGAGUGGAACUCCAUGUGUAGCAGUGAAAUGCGUAGAUAUAUGGAGGAACACCAGUGGCGAAGGCGACUCUCUGG